GUGAGGAAUAUUGGUCAAUGGGCGAGAGCCUGAACCAGCCAAGUCGCGUGAAGGAUGAAGGUUUUAUGAAUUGUAAACUUCUUUUGCAGGGGAAUAAAGUACGGUACGUGUACCGUUUUGUAUGUACUCUGCGAAUAAGGAUCGGCUAACUCCGUGCCAGCAGCCGCGGUAAUACGGAGGAUCCAAGCGUUAUCCGGAUUUAUUGGGUUUAAAGGGUGCGCAGGCGGGUUGAUAAGUCAGCGGUGAAAGUUUGCAGCUUAACUGUAAAAUUGCCGUUGAAACUGUCGAUCUUGAGUGCAAAUGAGGUAAGCGGAAUGUGUUGUGUAGCGGUGAAAUGCUUAGAUAUAACACAGAACACCGAUUGCGAAGGCAGCUUACUGGGAUGCAACUGACGCUCAUGCACGAAAGCGUGGGGAUCAAACAGGAUUAGAAACCCGAGUAGUCC
RNAcentral lists this ribosomal RNA (445 nucleotides) under uncultured bacterium. RNAcentral's name for it is "partial 16S ribosomal RNA". It matches the Rfam family "Bacterial small subunit ribosomal RNA", at positions 354 to 796 of the family's 1533-position model. The record is from RNAcentral.